GUAAGUUAAAAGUGAAAUCCCAUGGCUCACCUUUGGAAUCGCUUUAAAAACUGCUAAUCUAGAGAUUGAAAGAGGAUAGAGGAAUUCCUAGUGUAGAGGUGAAAUUCGUAAAUAUUAGGAGGAACACCAGUGGCGAAGGCGUCUAUCUGGUUCAAAUCUGACGCUGAGGCGCGAAGGCGUGGGGAGCAAACAGGAUUAGAUACCCUGGUAGUCCACGCUGUAAACGAUGAAUGUUAAAUAUGGGAAGUUUUACUUUCUGUAUUACAGCUAACGCGUUAAACAUUCCGCCUGGGGACUACGGUCGCAAGAUUAAAACUCAAAGGAAUUGACGGGGACCCGCACAAGCGGUGGAGCAUGUGGUUUAAUUCGAUGCAACGCGAAAAACCUUACCACUCCUUGACAUGGAAAUUAUACCUAUUCGAAGGGAUAGGGUCGGUUCGUCCGGGUUUCACACAGGUGUUGCAUGGCUGUCGUCAGCUCGCGUCGUGAGAUGUUGGGUUAAGUCCCGCAACGAGCGCAACCCUCAUCCUUAGUUACCAUCAGGUAAUGCUGGGGACUUUAAGGAAACUGCCAGUGAUAAACUGGAGGAAGGUGGGGAUGAUGUCAAGUCAUCAUGGCCCUUAUGGAGUGGGCUACACACGUGCUACAAUGGUGGCUACAAUGGGCUGCAAAGUCGCGAGGCUAAGCUAAUCCCUUAAAAGCCAUCUCAGUUCGGAUUGUACUCUGCAACUCGAGUGCAUGAAGUUGGAAUCGCUAGUAAUCGUGGAUCAGCACGCCACGGUGAAUACGUUCUCGGGUCUUGUACACACUGCCCGUCACGCCAUGGGAAUUGGUUUCACUCGAAGCUAACGACCUAACCGCAAGGAGGGAGUUAUUUAAAGUGGGAUCGGUGACUGGGGUGAAGUCGUAACAAGGUAGCAGUAGGGGAAUCUGCGGCUGGAUCACCUCCUAAG
This 953-nucleotide ribosomal RNA is filed under the name uncultured bacterium. RNAcentral describes it as "bacterial SSU rRNA". It matches the Rfam family "Bacterial small subunit ribosomal RNA", at positions 583 to 1533 of the family's 1533-position model. The record is from RNAcentral.